UACAGAGGGUGCAAGCGUUAAUCGGAUUUACUGGGCGUAAAGGGCGUGUAGGUGGAUUAAUUAGUCAGACGUGAAAGUCCUGGGCUUAACCGAGGGAUUGCGUAUGAUACUGUUAGUCUAGAGUGGAGUAGAGGAUAGUGGAAUUUCCGGUGUAGCGGUGAAAUGCGUAGAUAUCGGAAAGAACACCAGUGGCGAAGGCGGCUAUCUGGACUCCAACUGACACUGAGGCGCGAAAGCGUGGGGAGCGAACAGG
Molecule: ribosomal RNA, 253 nt
Filed under: uncultured bacterium
Lineage: Bacteria
Description: partial 16S ribosomal RNA
Rfam family: Bacterial small subunit ribosomal RNA
Source: RNAcentral